UGGAUCUCUUAGUGGCGAACGGGUGAGUAACGCGUGGGAAUCUACCUUGAAGUGGGGAAUAACUAUUGGAAACGAUAGCUAAUACCGCAUAAUCCCUUAGGGGCAAAGGCUUCGGCCGCUUUUAGAUGAGCCCGCGUUAGAUUAGGCUGUUGGUGAGGUAAUGGCUCACCAAACCUGUAAUCUAUAGCUGGUCUGAGAGGACGAUCAGCCACACUGGGACUGAGACACGGCCCAGACUCCUACGGGAGGCAGCAGUGGGGAAUAUUGGACAAUGGGGGAAACCCUGAUCCAGCAAUGCCGCGUGAGUGAUGAAGGCCUUAGGGUUGUAAAACUCUUUCAGAAGUGAAGAUGAUGACGGUAACUUCAGAAGAAGCUCCGGCUAACUCCGUGCCAGCAGCCGCGGUAAUACGGAGGGAGCUAGCGUUGUUCGGAAUUACUGGGCGUAAAGAGCGUGUAGGCUGUUAGGUAAGUCAGAGGUGAAAUCCCUAAGCUCAACUUAGGAACUGCCUUUGAUACUAUCUUACUAGAGAUCGAGAAAAGUUAGCGGAAUUCCAAGUGUAGAGGUGAAAUUCGUAGAUAUUUGGAGGAACACCAGUGGCGAAAGCGGCUAACUGGCUCGUAUCUGACGCUGAGACGCGAA
This 640-nucleotide ribosomal RNA is filed under the name uncultured Alphaproteobacteria bacterium. RNAcentral's name for it is "bacterial SSU rRNA". It matches the Rfam family "Bacterial small subunit ribosomal RNA", at positions 84 to 757 of the family's 1533-position model. The record is from RNAcentral. Lineage: Bacteria; Pseudomonadati; Pseudomonadota; Alphaproteobacteria.